AUCGACGACAUCAGCCUGCUGAUGAGCUCCCACACGAAUUGCUUGAUUCAUUGUCGAAGACGAUCAAGACCCUAUAUAGGUCUGUAGCUCAGUUGGCUAGAGCGCACCCCUGAUAAGGGUGAGGUCGGCAGUUCAAAUCUGCCCAGACCUACCAAUAUGCGGGGCCAUAGCUCAGCUGGGAGAGCGCCUGCCUUGCACGCAGGAGGUCAGCGGUUCGAUCCCGCUUGGCUCCACCACUUGCUGUACCUUGAUCAAACUCAGAAAUGAGCAUUCGCUUCGAAUGUUGAUUUCUGACUUUUGUCAGAUCGUUCUUUAAAAAUUCGGAUAUGUGAUAGAUAUAGACUGAACACCAGUUUCACUGCUGGUGGAUCAGGCUAAGGUAAAAUUUGUGAGUUCUCACGAAUUUUCGGCGAAUGUCGUCUUCACAGUAUAACCAGAUUGCUUGGGGUUAUAUGGU
Molecule: transfer RNA, 457 nt
Filed under: uncultured Pseudomonas sp.
Lineage: Bacteria; Pseudomonadati; Pseudomonadota; Gammaproteobacteria; Pseudomonadales; Pseudomonadaceae
Description: 16S-23S ribosomal RNA intergenic spacer
Rfam family: tRNA (bases 78-151)
Source: RNAcentral